GACGAACGCUGGCGGCGCGCCUAACACAUGCAAGUCGAACGAGCGAGAGAGAGCUUGCUUUCUCGAGCGAGUGGCGAACGGGUGAGUAACGCGUGAGGAACCUGCCUCAAAGAGGGGGACAACAGUUGGAAACGACUGCUAAUACCGCAUAAGCCCACGGCUCGGCAUCGAGCAGGGGGAAAAGGAGCAAUCCGCUUUGAGAUGGCCUCGCGUCCGAUUAGCUAGUUGGUGGGGUAACGGCCCACCAAGGCGACGAUCGGUAGCCGAACUGAGAGGUUGAACGGCCACAUUGGGACUGAGACACGGCCCAGACUCCUACGGGAGGCAGCAGUGGGGAAUAUUGCACAAUGGGGGAAACCCUGAUGCAGCGACGCCGCGUGGAGGAAGAAGGUCUUCGGAUUGUAAACUCCUGUUGUUGGGGAAGAUAAUGACGGUACCCAACAAGGAAGUGACGGCUAACUACGUG
Molecule: ribosomal RNA, 466 nt
Filed under: uncultured bacterium
Lineage: Bacteria
Description: partial 16S ribosomal RNA
Rfam family: Bacterial small subunit ribosomal RNA
Source: RNAcentral